GAGACACUAGUAAAGCGUAUUACAUUGCCUUGUCGAGGCAAAAUCGUGGGUUAGACCCCCACGUGUCUUA
This 70-nucleotide transfer RNA is filed under the name Dussumieria elopsoides (slender rainbow sardine). RNAcentral describes it as "tRNA-Asp". It matches the Rfam family "tRNA". Rfam says of the family: Transfer RNA (tRNA) molecules are approximately 80 nucleotides in length. Their secondary structure includes four short double-helical elements and three loops (D, anti-codon, and T loops). The record is from RNAcentral. Lineage: Eukaryota; Metazoa; Chordata; Actinopteri; Clupeiformes; Dussumieriidae.